RNAcentral lists this unclassified non-coding RNA (451 nucleotides) under Hevea brasiliensis (rubber tree). The record is from RNAcentral. Lineage: Eukaryota; Viridiplantae; Streptophyta; Magnoliopsida; Malpighiales; Euphorbiaceae.
CCAAUGGUAACAUCAUAAACUGCAAAGAGUUGACGAUGUAAAUUAAGGAAAAAGAUGCCCACAUCUAAACGUGGUUCAAAGCUAAGUCAAAUACAGUAAUUUCAAACCCAAUCUGCAACAAGCUAUUCCAAAAAAAAAAGAAGAAACAGAGCAAUCAUUAAUAAAGUAGGCUAAUCUGCACUCCAAAAUUUUAUUAUUGGAGAUCCUUGUAGAUUGAUUAACAAUAGAAUAUAACCAAGGACCAUUAGAUUCCAAAUGUGAUUCUAUUUUUUUUUUCCCCUUUUGUAAAAUUUUUUUGUUACCGUUGCACCAAGUGUACUAUGCAUGCCCUCAUCAAAACAGUAGUUUCAAACUUUAAGAGCAUAAAAAGCAGUGAACAACCAUAAUAAUAGCAUUAAGUAGCGCAUCAUGCAACAAAAGGAGUAACCUGCAUCCAGAGAGCCCCUUAGAU